AAAAAUGGUAGCUUGAUAGAUGGAAAACGGUGUCUUUAAUUUAUGUUGUAGCAGAUUCAUAUCAGUGCUCUAAACAAACAUGUACUGUGUUGUAGGAGGAAAGGAAUGAAAUGGAAAGGCCAACUUUGAAGUCCCAAACAACAUAAUAUUAUAGCCACUACUUCAAAGUCCCAACUCCAAACAUCAGUGAACUUUGGAUGAAAGAAAAAC
RNAcentral lists this long non-coding RNA (210 nucleotides) under Setaria italica (foxtail millet). Its description in RNAcentral is "long non-coding RNA (SITA_LNC004369)". The record is from RNAcentral. Lineage: Eukaryota; Viridiplantae; Streptophyta; Magnoliopsida; Poales; Poaceae.